CCUACGGGAGGCAGCAGUGAGGAAUAUUGGUCAAUGGACGCAAGUCUGAACCAGCCAUGCCGCGUGCAGGAUGACGGCUCUAUGAGUUGUAAACUGCUUUUGUACGAGGGUAAACCCCGAUACGUGUAUCGUGUUGAAAGUAUCGUACGAAUAAGGAUCGGCUAACUCCGUGCCAGCAGCCGCGGUAAUCCGGAGGAUCCGCGCGUUAUCCGGAUUUAUUGGGUUUAAAGGGUGCGUAGGCGGUUUGAUAAGUUAGAGGUGAAAUGUCGGGGCUCAACCCCGAAACUGCCUCUAAUACUGUUGGACUAGAGAAUAGUUGAGGUAGGCGGAAUGUAUGGUGUAGCGGUGAAAUGCUUAGAGAUCAUACAGAACACCGAUUGCGAAGGCAGCUUACCAAACUAUAUCUGACGUUGAGGCACGAAAGCGUGGGUAGCAAACAGGAUUAGAUACCCUUGUAGUC
RNAcentral lists this ribosomal RNA (460 nucleotides) under uncultured bacterium. RNAcentral's name for it is "partial 16S ribosomal RNA". It matches the Rfam family "Bacterial small subunit ribosomal RNA", at positions 338 to 795 of the family's 1533-position model. The record is from RNAcentral.